UGAGGAAUAUUGGGCAAUGCCCGCAAGGGUGACCCAGCAACGCCGCGUGGAGGAUGAAUGUCGUAAGAUUGUAAACUCCUGUUAGAGGGGAAGAAUAGUACCGGUUGGACCGGUAUAUGACUGUACCCUCAGAGAAAGCCCCGGCUAACUACGUGCCAGCAGCCGCGGUAAUACGUAGGGGGCAAGCGUUGUCCGGAUUUACUGGGUGUAGAGGGCGCGCAGGCGGAAUGGAAAGUCAGUGGUGAAAUCCUACAGCUUAACUGUAGAACUGCCUUUGAUACUUUCAUUCUUGAGUUCGGGAGAGAGAGACGGAAUUCCAGGUGUAGCGGUGAAAUACGUAGAUAUCUGGAAGAACACCAGUUGCGAAGGCGGUCUCUUGGUCCGAUACUGACGCUGAGGCGCGAAAGCGUGGGGAGCAAACA
Molecule: ribosomal RNA, 422 nt
Filed under: uncultured bacterium
Lineage: Bacteria
Description: bacterial SSU rRNA
Rfam family: Bacterial small subunit ribosomal RNA
Source: RNAcentral